GCCGGCGUAGUGUAACGGUAGCACGACAGUCUCCAAAACUGUUUGUCGAGGUUCAAAUCCUUGCGUCGGUGCCA
Molecule: transfer RNA, 74 nt
Filed under: Clostridiales bacterium
Lineage: Bacteria; Bacillati; Bacillota; Clostridia; Eubacteriales
Description: tRNA-Trp
Rfam family: tRNA
About the family: Transfer RNA (tRNA) molecules are approximately 80 nucleotides in length.
Source: RNAcentral